Molecule: ribosomal RNA, 497 nt
Filed under: uncultured bacterium
Lineage: Bacteria
Description: partial 16S ribosomal RNA
Rfam family: Bacterial small subunit ribosomal RNA
Source: RNAcentral
ACUCAAAUGAAUAGACGGGGGCCUGCACAAGCGGCGGAGCAUGCGGCUUAAUUCGAUGCGACGCGAAGAACCUUACCAAGGCUUGACAUGCACUGAAAACUCGCAGAGAUGCGGGGUCCUUCGGGGCGGUGUACAGGUGGUGCAUGGUUGUCGUCAGCUCGUGUCGUGAGAUGUUGGGUUAAGUCCCGCAACGAGCGCAACCCUCGUUCCAUGUUGCCAGCACGUUAUGGUGGGGACUCAUGGGAGACUGCCGGGGUCAACUCGGAGGAAGGUGGGGACGACGUCAAAUCAUCAUGCCCCUUAUGUCUUGGGCUGCACGCAUGCUACAAUGGCCGGUACAGAGGGUUGCGAUACCGUGAGGUGGAGCGAAUCCCAGAAAGCCGGUCUUAGUUCGGAUCGGGGUCUGCAACUCGACCCCGUGAAGUUGGAGUCGCUAGUAAUCGCAGAUCAGCAUUGCUGCGGUGAAUACGUUCACGGGCCUUGUACACACCGCCCGU